UACGAAGGGGGCUAGCGUUGUUCGGAAUUACUGGGCGUAAAGCGCACGUAGGCGGAUAUUUAAGUCAGGGGUGAAAUCCUGGAGCUCAACUCCAGAACUGCCUUUGAUACUGGCGAGCUUGAGUUCGGGAGAGGUGAGUGGAACUGCGAGUGUAGAGGUGAAAUUCGUAGAUAUUCGCAAGAACACCAGUGGCGAAGGCGGCUCACUGGCCCGAUACUGACGCUGAGGUGCGAAAGCGUGGGGAGCAAACAGG
RNAcentral lists this ribosomal RNA (253 nucleotides) under uncultured bacterium. RNAcentral describes it as "partial 16S ribosomal RNA". It matches the Rfam family "Bacterial small subunit ribosomal RNA", at positions 524 to 776 of the family's 1533-position model. The record is from RNAcentral.